This 253-nucleotide unclassified non-coding RNA is filed under the name uncultured Bacillaceae bacterium. Its description in RNAcentral is "contains 16S-23S intergenic spacer region". It matches the Rfam family "Bacterial small subunit ribosomal RNA", at positions 524 to 776 of the family's 1533-position model. The record is from RNAcentral. Lineage: Bacteria; Bacillati; Bacillota; Bacilli; Caryophanales; Bacillaceae.
CACGUAGGGGGCAAGCGUUGUCCGGAAUUAUUGGGCGUAAAGCGCGCGCAGGCGGUCUUGUAAGUCUGAUGUGAAAGCCCCCGGCUCAACCGGGGAGGGUCAUUGGAAACUGCGAGACUUGAGUACAGGAGAGGAGAGUGGAAUUCCACGUGUAGCGGUGAAAUGCGUAGAUAUGUGGAGGAACACCAGUGGCGAAGGCGACUCUCUGGUCUGUAACUGACGCUGAGGCGCGUAAGCGUGGGGAGCAAACAGG